GACGAACGCUGGCGGCGUGCUUAACACAUGCAAGUCGAACGGAAAGGCCCUGCUUUUGUGGGGUGCUCGAGUGGCGAACGGGUGAGUAACACGUGAGUAACCUGCCCUUGACUUUGGGAUAACUUCAGGAAACUGGGGCUAAUACCGGAUAGGAGCUCCUGCUGCAUGGUGGGGGUUGGAAAGUUUCGGCGGUUGGGGAUGGACUCGCGGCUUAUCAGCUUGUUGGUGGGGUAGUGGCUUACCAAGGCUUUGACGGGUAGCCGGCCUGAGAGGGUGACCGGCCAAAUUGGGACUGAGAUACGGCACAGACUCCUACGGGACGCGGCAGUGGGGAAUAUUGCACAAUGGGCGGAAGCCUGAUGCAGCAACGCCGCGUGCGGGAUAACGGCCUGCGGGUUGUAAUCCGCUUUCGCCUGUGACGAAGCGUGAGUGACGGUAAUGGGUAAAGAAGCACCGGCUAACUACGUG
RNAcentral lists this ribosomal RNA (468 nucleotides) under uncultured bacterium. RNAcentral describes it as "partial 16S ribosomal RNA". It matches the Rfam family "Bacterial small subunit ribosomal RNA", at positions 28 to 507 of the family's 1533-position model. The record is from RNAcentral.